RNAcentral lists this long non-coding RNA (761 nucleotides) under Triticum aestivum (bread wheat). Its description in RNAcentral is "long non-coding RNA (TAES_LNC006991)". Lineage: Eukaryota; Viridiplantae; Streptophyta; Magnoliopsida; Poales; Poaceae. The record is from RNAcentral.
AUUGUCAACAUCACAAACUGGCUGAACUUAGAAGUCUUUACAAAUUGCAAGCACGGAAGCAACAACCUCUUAAACAGAGUUCCUACAUACUGCAAGCAUUGAAAGCAACGACUUCCAAACAAAGUUCCUACAAACUGCAAGCACAUAAGCAAAGGUCCGCAUAAGCCGGCAAAAACAGGAGGUUAGUUCAAAAUGAACUAAAUCUGAGCAUGGCGAUUACAACUAACCUUAUCAAUUUUGACUACGGAACAACUUCCUAAACGAAGUUCCAUACGCAAAUACUCCCUCCGUUUUUAUUUACUCUGCAUAUUAGAGUUGACUGAAGUCAAACUUUGUAAAGUUUGACCAAGUUUAUAGACAACAAUAUAGACAUUUAUUAUAAUAAAUCUAUACGAUGUGAAAGUACAUCUACUAAUAAAUCUAAUGUUGUUGAUUUGUUAUUGUAUAUCUUUAUAUUUUUGUUCAUAAACUUGGUCAAACUUUGUAAAGCUUGACUUUGACCAAAGCUAAUAUGCGAACUAAAUAAAAACGGAGGGAGUACUAAGACUGGCAGCAUUGGUCCUACCUUAACCCGGCCUAUACAAAGUUACUACAGAACAACUACUUCCUACAGAUGCAGAGCCGCACUCACUUGUGCAAUAUCUAACAGCCACCACAGCCAGCUUCCCCUUGAUCCAGAAGCGCAUGCUCCAGCAACUACAGCUUGGCAAACACUUGAACACCAGCUCACUGCCCCUGGACCGUAGAAGCUGCUUCCAUUG